Ceraceosorus bombacis is the source of this 117-nucleotide transfer RNA. It matches the Rfam family "tRNA". From Rfam's summary of the family: Transfer RNA (tRNA) molecules are approximately 80 nucleotides in length. NCBI's taxonomy places the organism in Eukaryota, Fungi, Basidiomycota, Exobasidiomycetes, Ceraceosorales, Ceraceosoraceae. The record is from Rfam.
GGCAACUUGGCCGAGUGGUUAUGGCGCUACGUUCAGGUUAGACUGAGUCCCGCUGGGCUUUGCGCCGAGCACCUCCCGUAGUUCGAAAGAGCGUGGGUUCGAGUCCCACAGUUGUCA